AAAGAAUUAGAAAAAAAAGCAUAUGAGAAAGUAGUAAUUUUAAAAAUAAAAAUAUUAGUUUCACAUUUAUUUUUUCAAAAAGCUUAUAGCUACAAAGUCUAAGGCUCUUUUUGUUGGAGCCUCAUCAGCUUCAUUGACCUUAAUUUCAUAGCCUUUGGGUAAGGAAGUGUAGAACUAAAAAAUAGCUAGAUUAUUGUACCCUUUAAAUAAUUCUUUUACACUUGCUAUGGCUCCACCAAUAACAAUUCUCCAUAAGGUUAAAGAAAAGUCAAAUGAAUUGUUAAUGUUAUAAAAUAUGGCUUGAAAGAAGUCAUUAAGAAAUUUGUUUGAUUCAUAUUUACAUCAUUACAUGUUUGUUCCAAAUUAGUUCCAAUUGCAGAUUAUAACAUAUUCAAGAUGCAUAUAUUUCUAAUGUGUGACCUGAAAGGGUUAAAUGUGAUUCUUUUACAAAUCAAGUAAAAAGGGUAAGUGAAACUUGACAAUUCCUAUAAUAGAUAUUUUCUUUUUAAUUUUUACUUUAUUACUUGAUUUUAAUAUCCUUGUAAUGAUUAACCAUACAAUGUAACCAAAUGUAUCAAAGUAUGUAUCCCUAAUCUUAUCUAAUGAUGUAACAGCCUGUUCCAGAUGGAUAAAAUGACAAUUCUAAACACUUAUAAGCCUUUGAAUUAUCUAAGGAGAAUUAAGAUAAAAAUCAAUUCAAAAAUACAAAAGUAAACCGACUAUUUUUUUAUCAUUACAAUCAUGAGAAAAAAAUGAAUAGAUUAGCAUUAAAAAUAAUUAAAUCUAUAAUAAGUAACAAAUAAAAUCCAUAGAGAAUUUGUCCACAAAACAUACAUCUAAACUUUUAUUCACACGAUGUAUGCCUCCAGGCUAUUUCAUGUCCUAUUUAAUUUCCCCAUCAUCAAAUUAUUAGAAUCAUGUGACACACUAAAAUGAAGAUAAAAUUUUA
This 949-nucleotide long non-coding RNA is filed under the name Lactuca sativa (garden lettuce). RNAcentral describes it as "long non-coding RNA (LSAT_LNC003553)". The record is from RNAcentral. Lineage: Eukaryota; Viridiplantae; Streptophyta; Magnoliopsida; Asterales; Asteraceae.